AUUUAAAUAGUUUAUAUAAAAUAUUGGUUUGUGGAACCAGGGAUGUGAAAUAACACUUUAGAUA
RNAcentral lists this transfer RNA (64 nucleotides) under Polyphylla gracilicornis. RNAcentral's name for it is "tRNA-His". The record is from RNAcentral. Lineage: Eukaryota; Metazoa; Arthropoda; Insecta; Coleoptera; Scarabaeidae.